RNAcentral lists this ribosomal RNA (660 nucleotides) under Samba atra. RNAcentral's name for it is "eukaryotic LSU rRNA". It matches the Rfam family "Eukaryotic large subunit ribosomal RNA", at positions 402 to 810 of the family's 3401-position model. The record is from RNAcentral. Lineage: Eukaryota; Metazoa; Arthropoda; Insecta; Hymenoptera; Melittidae.
AAACCGUUCAGGGGUAAACCCAAGAAACCCAAAAGUUCGAAAGGGGAGAUUCAUCGUCGACGACUGCCGGCUCCCGGUGGCGCGCGAUGUCCCUCGUCCUCGUGGCGAGCGGGCACGCCGCUUCGGCGAACGUUCCGGCGUCGCGGUCGUGCACUUCUCCCUUAGUAGGACGUCGCGACCCGUUGCGUGUCGGCCUGAGGCCCGUUGCGGUAGCUUGCCGCCGUUAGUGGCGCAACCCUUCGGAGGCCCGGCUGACUGCGCGACGGUAGUUGAAGACGGUAUAAGGCCGCAAAAAGAAAUUAUUUUUUUUUUUGCGUCCCGGCCCGCCGCAAGCUCGACCAUUCGAAUUACCCGGGUGCACGGACUCUGCGCCGUCCCUGGGCCUGGUUAGCUGUUAGCAGGCGGUGUCCUCGGACCGGCCGACAUACCUGUCAGCGACGCUAUUGCUUUGGGUACUCUCGGGACCCGUCUUGAAACACGGACCAAGGAGUCUAACAUGUACGCGAGUCAUUGGGAUUUUUGAAACCUAAAGGCGAAAUGAAAGUAAAAGUCGACCUUCGCGUCGACCGAGGGAAGAUGGGCCGCGUAUCUAUGCGGCUCCGCACUCCCGGGGCGUUUCGUUCUCAUCGCGAGAGGAGGCGCACCUUGAGCGUACACGUU